Molecule: ribosomal RNA, 605 nt
Filed under: uncultured bacterium
Lineage: Bacteria
Description: bacterial SSU rRNA
Rfam family: Bacterial small subunit ribosomal RNA
Source: RNAcentral
GACGAACGCUGACGGUGUGCUUUAGGCAUGCAAGUCGAACGAGAAAGCCCUUCGGGGUGAGUAAAGUGGCGAACGGGUGAGUAACACGUGGGCAACCUGCCCCUCGCAGGGGGACAACCGGAGGAAACUCCGGCUAAUACCCCGUACGCUUGUUGGAUCGCAUGGUCCGGCAAGGAAAGGUAGCUUCGGCCAUCCGGCGAGGGAUGGGCCCGCGUUGCAUUAGCUAGUUGGUGGGGUAACGGCCUACCAAGGCGACGAUGCGUAGCCGGUCUGAGAGGAUGAUCAGCCACACUGGGACUGAGACACGGCCCAGACUCCUACGGGAGGCAGCAGCCAGGAAUCUUGGGCAAUGGGCGAAAGCCUGACCCAGCAACACCGUGUGGGCGAUGAAGGCCUUAGGGUCGUAAAGCCCUGUUGAUAGGGACGAAGGGCGAAGGGUUAAUAGCCCCUAGCUUGACGGUACCUUUCGAGGAAGCCCCGGCUAACUACGUGCCAGCAGCCGCGGUAAUACGUAGGGGGCGAGCGUUGUCCGGAAUUAUUGGGCGUAAAGAGCGUGUAGGCGGUUCGGUAAGUCUGCUGUGAAAUUCUGGGGGCUCAACCCUGGG